RNAcentral lists this transfer RNA (75 nucleotides) under Azorhizobium caulinodans. RNAcentral describes it as "tRNA-Asn". It matches the Rfam family "tRNA". Rfam says of the family: Transfer RNA (tRNA) molecules are approximately 80 nucleotides in length. RNAcentral also lists the same sequence under 1355 other names. The record is from RNAcentral. Lineage: Bacteria; Pseudomonadati; Pseudomonadota; Alphaproteobacteria; Hyphomicrobiales; Xanthobacteraceae.
UCCCCGGUAGCUCAGUGGUAGAGCAACCGGCUGUUAACCGGUUGGUCGCUGGUUCGAAUCCGGCCCGGGGAGCCA